GAUGAACGCUAGCGGCAGGCCUAACACAUGCAAGUCGAGGGGUAUAGGGAGCUUGCUUCCUAGAGACCGGCGCACGGGUGCGUAACGCGUAUGCAAUCUACCUUGUACAGGGGAAUAGCCCAGAGAAAUUUGGAUUAAUGCCCCAUAGUAUUAUUAAAUGGCAUCCUUUAAUAAUUAAAGUUCCAACGGUACAAGAUGAGCAUGCGUCCUAUUAGUUAGUUGGUGUGGUAACGGCAUACCAAGACGAUGAUAGGUAGGGGUCCUGAGAGGGAGAUCCCCCACACUGGUACUGAGACACGGACCAGACUCCUACGGGAGGCAGCAGUGAGGAAUAUUGGACAAUGGGCGCAAGCCUGAUCCAGCCAUGCCGCGUGCAGGAAGACGGUCCUAUGGAUUGUAAACUGCUUUUUAUACAGGAAGAAACACUGGUUCGUGAACCAGCUUGACGGUACUGUAAGAAUAAGGAUCGGCUAACUCCGUGCCAGCAGCCGCGGUAA
RNAcentral lists this ribosomal RNA (497 nucleotides) under uncultured bacterium. Its description in RNAcentral is "bacterial SSU rRNA". It matches the Rfam family "Bacterial small subunit ribosomal RNA", at positions 28 to 523 of the family's 1533-position model. The record is from RNAcentral.